This is a non-coding RNA of Chlorocebus sabaeus (green monkey), 957 nucleotides long. NCBI's taxonomy places the organism in Eukaryota, Metazoa, Chordata, Mammalia, Primates, Cercopithecidae. The record is from RefSeq and is a predicted model, not a curated record.
AGAUUAUUUAGGUGUGAGCCACAGCACCCGGCCCAGACAUUGUUUGAAGUCACCCACUUCAUGGUUCUUUGCUGUAGGGGUUGUGGAAUAUGAAUGCGCUCGUGCUGUUGGUUGGACUUUGCUGACCUUGUGUCUGUUAUUUCCUGGCAAGUUCUACAGGGCCUGGAGCUGGUACGAAAAACCUCCCUUCUUCCCCAAGUGAUUCCCAGCUUCCACAUUCACUGAAGGCCCUGUAAUCAAGAACAGUCAGGACUUUGCAUCCAGUUGCUGUGGGUAUUGGGCCGACCCUUCCUCUUGCGUGAUCCAUCGAUCCGCAGCAUUGCAUCACCUGGGAGCUUUUGGAAUUGAAGACUUUCCGGGCUCACCCGGGAGGACUUGCUGGGCCACAAUCUGCAUUUUAACAAGAUGCCCAGGAAAGAAUGUCCUGGAGGAAAACAGAGACUCCCUGUGACCUGGAGCUUCACAAGCUUAGCCCCUUCCAGGAGCCAUGGAGGAGCUGGGGCAUUGGGAAAGUCUUGGGGGAUACUAGGAAGGAACCUGCCUGACUUGCUGUCAGUGUUUAGAGAAUUGAAGGAGCUGAUGAUUGUGGAACCUGCUGGACAUUUUCUGAAGCCAGGUACUGGGUUCAACAUGGUGUAUAGUUAUCUCAAGGCACUGGUUCUCAGCUGAGGGUGAAUUUGCCCCCCAGCAGGCACUUGGCAGGGUCUGGAGAUAUUUCUGGUUGUUACAAUGGGAGAAGGGGUGCCAAUGGCAUCCAUCUAGUUGGUAGAGGACAGGAAAGCCGAUAACAUCCCACAGUGCUCAGAACAACCCCAUGCAAUACAGAAUGAUCCUGCCCUAAAUGUCAAUAGAGCUGAGGUUAAGAAGCCUUUUUCUUGGUUUGUGGGUGGAGGGCAGGGUCUCACUGCGUCACCCAGGUUGGAGGGCAGUGGCACAGUCAUAACCCACUGCAGCCUU